Molecule: unclassified non-coding RNA, 625 nt
Filed under: Trichoderma atrobrunneum
Lineage: Eukaryota; Fungi; Ascomycota; Sordariomycetes; Hypocreales; Hypocreaceae
Description: sequence contains 18S rRNA gene, ITS1, 5.8S rRNA gene, ITS2, 28S rRNA gene
Rfam family: 5.8S ribosomal RNA (bases 247-400)
Source: RNAcentral
AGUCGUAACAAGGUCUCCGUUGGUGAACCAGCGGAGGGAUCAUUACCGAGUUUACAACUCCCAAACCCAAUGUGAACGUUACCAAACUGUUGCCUCGGCGGGAUCUCUGCCCCGGGUGCGUCGCAGCCCCGGACCAAGGCGCCCGCCGGAGGACCAACCAAAACUCUUAUUGUAUACCCCCUCGCGGGUUUUUUUAUAAUCUGAGCCUUCUCGGCGCCUCUCGUAGGCGUUUCGAAAAUGAAUCAAAACUUUCAACAACGGAUCUCUUGGUUCUGGCAUCGAUGAAGAACGCAGCGAAAUGCGAUAAGUAAUGUGAAUUGCAGAAUUCAGUGAAUCAUCGAAUCUUUGAACGCACAUUGCGCCCGCCAGUAUUCUGGCGGGCAUGCCUGUCCGAGCGUCAUUUCAACCCUCGAACCCCUCCGGGGGGUCGGCGUUGGGGAUCGGCCCUGCCUUGGCGGUGGCCGUCUCCGAAAUACAGUGGCGGUCUCGCCGCAGCCUCUCCUGCGCAGUAGUUUGCACACUCGCAUCGGGAGCGCGGCGCGUCCACAGCCGUUAAACACCCAACUUCUGAAAUGUUGACCUCGGAUCAGGUAGGAAUACCCGCUGAACUUAAGCAUAUCAAUAA